Molecule: ribosomal RNA, 683 nt
Filed under: uncultured Bacteroidales bacterium
Lineage: Bacteria; Pseudomonadati; Bacteroidota; Bacteroidia; Bacteroidales
Description: bacterial SSU rRNA
Rfam family: Bacterial small subunit ribosomal RNA
Source: RNAcentral
CAUGAUUUGUAGCAAUACAGAUUGAUGGCGACCGGCGCACGGGUGAGUAACGCGUAUGCAGCUUACCUAUCAGAGGGGGAUAGCCCGGCGAAAGUCGGAUUAAUACCCCAUAAAACAGGGGUCCCGCAUGGGAAUAUUUGUUAAAGAUUCAUCGCUGAUAGAUAGGCAUGCGUUCCAUUAGGCAGUUGGCGGGGUAACGGCCCACCAAACCGACGAUGGAUAGGGGUUCUGAGAGGAAGGUCCCCCACAUUGGUACUGAGACACGGACCAAACUCCUACGGGAGGCAGCAGUGAGGAAUAUUGGUCAAUGGCCGAGAGGCUGAACCAGCCAAGUCGCGUGAAGGAAGAAGGAUCUAUGGUUUGUAAACUUCUUUUAUAGGGGAAUAAAGUGGAGGACGUGUCCUUUUUUGUAUGUACCCUAUGAAUAAGCAUCGGCUAACUCCGUGCCAGCAGCCGCGGUAAUACGGAGGAUGCGAGCGUUAUCCGGAUUUAUUGGGUUUAAAGGGUGCGUAGGUGGUGAUUUAAGUCAGCGGUGAAAGUUUGUGGCUCAACCAUAAAAUUGCCGUUGAAACUGGGUUACUUGAGUGUGUUUGAGGUAGGCGGAAUGCGUGGUGUAGCGGUGAAAUGCAUAGAUAUCACGCAGAACUCCGAUUGCGAAGGCAGCUUACUAAACCAUAACUGAC